This 403-nucleotide ribosomal RNA is filed under the name uncultured bacterium. RNAcentral describes it as "partial 16S ribosomal RNA". It matches the Rfam family "Bacterial small subunit ribosomal RNA", at positions 28 to 526 of the family's 1533-position model. The record is from RNAcentral.
GACGAACGAUGGCGGCGUGCCUAAUACAUGCAAGUCGAACGCAGUGGGGACGGGUGAGUAAAACGUGGGUAACCUCCCAUCAGAGGGGAUAACACUUGGAAACAGGUGCUAAACUGAUAUUGUUGGAUGUACCCGCGGUGCAUUAGCUAGUUGGUGAGGUAACGGUCGACCAAGGCCACGAUGCAUAGCCGACCUGAGAGGGUGAUCGGCCACACUGGGACUGAGACACGGCCCAGACUCCUACGGGAGGCAGCAGUAGGGAAUCUUCGGCAAUGGGCGAAAGUCGGACCGAGCAACGCCGCGUGAGUGAAGAAGGUUUUCGGAUCGUAAACCUCUGUUGUUAGAGAAGCGGUAUCUAACCAGAAAGCCACGGCUAACUACGUGCCAGCCGCCGCGGUAAUAC